This 546-nucleotide ribosomal RNA is filed under the name Naganishia diffluens. RNAcentral describes it as "eukaryotic LSU rRNA". It matches the Rfam family "Eukaryotic large subunit ribosomal RNA", at positions 104 to 655 of the family's 3401-position model. Lineage: Eukaryota; Fungi; Basidiomycota; Tremellomycetes; Filobasidiales; Filobasidiaceae. The record is from RNAcentral.
GAGCUCAAAUUUGAAAUCUAGUAGCCUUCGGCUGCUCGAGUUGUAAUCUAGAGAAGUGUUUUCCGUGCCGGCCCAUGUACAAGUCCCUUGGAACAGGGCGUCAUAGAGGGUGAGAAUCCCGUCCUUGACAUGGACCCCCGGUGCUCUGUGAUACACUUUCAACGAGUCGAGUUGUUUGGGAAUGCAGCUCAAAAUGGGUGGUGAAUUCCAUCUAAAGCUAAAUAUUGGCGAGAGACCGAUAGCGAACAAGUACCGUGAGGGAAAGAUGAAAAGCACUUUGGAAAGAGAGUUAAACAGUACGUGAAAUUGUUGAAAGGGAAACGAUUGAAGUCAGUCAUGCUCUUUGGUAUUUAUAUCAUUGAGUGGGGUCAACAUCAGUUUUGAGCGAUGGAUAAAGGCACUAGGAAGGUAGCACUCUCGGGUGAACUUAUAGCCUAGCGUCAUAUACAUUGUUUGGGACUGAGGAACGCAGCAUGCCUUUAUGGCCGGGAUUCGUCCACGUACAUGCUUAGGAUGUUGACAUAAUGGCUUUAAACGACCCGUCUU